GGCGGCAGGCCUAACACAUGCAAGUCGAGCGGCAGCACGGGUACUUGUACCUGGUGGCGAGCGGCGGACGGGUGAGUAAUGCCUAGGAAUCUGCCUGGUAGUGGGGGAUGACGCUCGGAAACGGACGCUAAUACCGCAUACGUCCUACGGGAGAAAGCAGGGGACCUUCGGGCCUUGCGCUAUCAGAUGAGCCUAGGUCGGAUUAGCUAGUUGGUGAGGUAAUGGCUCACCAAGGCGACGAUCCGUAACUGGUCUGAGAGGAUGAUCAGUCACACUGGAACUGAGACACGGUCCAGACUCCUACGGGAGGCAGCAGUGGGGAAUAUUGGACAAUGGGCGAAAGCCUGAUCCAGCCAUGCCGCGUGUGUGAAGAAGGUCUUCGGAUUGUAAAGCACUUUAAGUUGGGAGGAAGGGCAUUUACCUAAUACGUAAGUGUUUUGACGUUACCGACAGAAUAAGCACCGGCUAACUCUGUGCCAGCAGCCGCGGUAAUACAGAGGGUGCAAGCGUUAAUCGGAAUUACUGGGCGUAAAGCGCGCGUAGGUGGUUCG
RNAcentral lists this ribosomal RNA (551 nucleotides) under uncultured Gammaproteobacteria bacterium. Its description in RNAcentral is "bacterial SSU rRNA". It matches the Rfam family "Bacterial small subunit ribosomal RNA", at positions 38 to 582 of the family's 1533-position model. The record is from RNAcentral. Lineage: Bacteria; Pseudomonadati; Pseudomonadota; Gammaproteobacteria.